This 530-nucleotide long non-coding RNA is filed under the name Setaria viridis. RNAcentral's name for it is "long non-coding RNA (SVIR_LNC004655)". Lineage: Eukaryota; Viridiplantae; Streptophyta; Magnoliopsida; Poales; Poaceae. The record is from RNAcentral.
CACGAUCCUAGUAUCUUUUAAACAAUUGAUCUAGUCUAGGUGAGGCAUAAUGCACAUGGUCUGUUCAGCUGAGCUGUCUCUAUGUUGUUCAACUGGAUAGAAAUAUUUAAUAUAAUUUUUGUAUAACUUCAGGUAGUAAUAUUUUUUGUUUGUCAUGCAGAAGCUGUUUCAUACUAAUUUUUGCUAAUUAUAUUUCCAUGCUCUACUCUAGCCGAACAAGAACUUCGUAUCAUUAGGUUUAUCAAACAUGUAAAAGUAGACCAGCAACAUUCAUAGCUGUUGCUUAAGUAUCCCUGUCUACAAUUGGUCCUAACUCCUAACAUCACUUAAUAGGAACAGCAGGUCAUGCUGCUAUUAGUGUGCACCUAACACUUUGUAAAGGUGGAAAGGAGAUUAAUGCUAAUGGUUGUCGUUAAAUUAGGCAGGCUUCAAUGGAAUUGCAAAUUGACAGAUCAGUUUCCUUAAGAUUCACCCCUCCUACCAAUCGUUCUACUAUUCUAUUCUGUCUUUUUUCGAUAGCGUAAAUUAUA